UGAGGAUGAGGAACAUGGUGUUGCAGUUCAAACCAGUUCCAGCCAAAAUGGACUCUAGUCACAAACAAAUAGUAAUAACAAUCCAAACUUGUGGCUGAAUAGAGUUCUGAAGUUUUGAGAAAGAGAAAUUUUAGAGACACAGACAAAGGGAAAUAAGGCCAUGUGGUGGAGGCAGAGAUUGGAGUUAUGCAGCCACAAGCCAAAGAAGGCCAAGAAUUGCCAACAACUACCGGAAGCUAGAAGUGACAAGGAAGCAUUCUUCCCUAGAGCCCUUGGAGAGAUCGUGGCCCUGCAACAUCUUAAAGUUAGGACUUCCAGCUUCCAGAAAUGUGAGAGAAUAAAUUU
Molecule: long non-coding RNA, 345 nt
Organism: Homo sapiens (human)
Lineage: Eukaryota; Metazoa; Chordata; Mammalia; Primates; Hominidae
Gene: CCDC54-AS1
Product: CCDC54 antisense RNA 1
Source: Ensembl